RNAcentral lists this ribosomal RNA (2838 nucleotides) under Escherichia coli. RNAcentral's name for it is "partial 23S ribosomal RNA". It matches the Rfam family "Bacterial large subunit ribosomal RNA". Lineage: Bacteria; Pseudomonadati; Pseudomonadota; Gammaproteobacteria; Enterobacterales; Enterobacteriaceae. The record is from RNAcentral.
GGUUAAGCGACUAAGCGUACACGGUGGAUGCCCUGGCAGUCAGAGGCGAUGAAGGACGUGCUAAUCUGCGAUAAGCGUCGGUAAGGUGAUAUGAACCGUUAUAACCGGCGAUUUCCGAAUGGGGAAACCCAGUGUGUUUCGACACACUAUCAUUAACUGAAUCCAUAGGUUAAUGAGGCGAACCGGGGGAACUGAAACAUCUAAGUACCCCGAGGAAAAGAAAUCAACCGAGAUUCCCCCAGUAGCGGCGAGCGAACGGGGAGGAGCCCAGAGCCUGAAUCAGUGUGUGUGUUAGUGGAAGCGUCUGGAAAGGCGCGCGAUACAGGGUGACAGCCCCGUACACAAAAAUGCACAUGCUGUGAGCUCGAUGAGUAGGGCGGGACACGUGGUAUCCUGUCUGAAUAUGGGGGGACCAUCCUCCAAGGCUAAAUACUCCUGACUGACCGAUAGUGAACCAGUACCGUGAGGGAAAGGCGAAAAGAACCCCGGCGAGGGGAGUGAAAAAGAACCUGAAACCGUGUACGUACAAGCAGUGGGAGCACGCUUAGGCGUGUGACUGCGUACCUUUUGUAUAAUGGGUCAGCGACUUAUAUUCUGUAGCAAGGUUAACCGAAUAGGGGAGCCGAAGGGAAACCGAGUCUUAACUGGGCGUUAAGUUGCAGGGUAUAGACCCGAAACCCGGUGAUCUAGCCAUGGGCAGGUUGAAGGUUGGGUAACACUAACUGGAGGACCGAACCGACUAAUGUUGAAAAAUUAGCGGAUGACUUGUGGCUGGGGGUGAAAGGCCAAUCAAACCGGGAGAUAGCUGGUUCUCCCCGAAAGCUAUUUAGGUAGCGCCUCGUGAAUUCAUCUCCGGGGGUAGAGCACUGUUUCGGCAAGGGGGUCAUCCCGACUUACCAACCCGAUGCAAACUGCGAAUACCGGAGAAUGUUAUCACGGGAGACACACGGCGGGUGCUAACGUCCGUCGUGAAGAGGGAAACAACCCAGACCGCCAGCUAAGGUCCCAAAGUCAUGGUUAAGUGGGAAACGAUGUGGGAAGGCCCAGACAGCCAGGAUGUUGGCUUAGAAGCAGCCAUCAUUUAAAGAAAGCGUAAUAGCUCACUGGUCGAGUCGGCCUGCGCGGAAGAUGUAACGGGGCUAAACCAUGCACCGAAGCUGCGGCAGCGACACUGUGUGUUGUUGGGUAGGGGAGCGUUCUGUAAGCCUGUGAAGGUGUACUGUGAGGUAUGCUGGAGGUAUCAGAAGUGCGAAUGCUGACAUAAGUAACGAUAAAGCGGGUGAAAAGCCCGCUCGCCGGAAGACCAAGGGUUCCUGUCCAACGUUAAUCGGGGCAGGGUGAGUCGACCCCUAAGGCGAGGCCGAAAGGCGUAGUCGAUGGGAAACAGGUUAAUAUUCCUGUACUUGGUGUUACUGCGAAGGGGGGACGGAGAAGGCUAUGUUGGCCGGGCGACGGUUGUCCCGGUUUAAGCGUGUAGGCUGGUUUUCCAGGCAAAUCCGGAAAAUCAAGGCUGAGGCGUGAUGACGAGGCACUACGGUGCUGAAGCAACAAAUGCCCUGCUUCCAGGAAAAGCCUCUAAGCAUCAGGUAACAUCAAAUCGUACCCCAAACCGACACAGGUGGUCAGGUAGAGAAUACCAAGGCGCUUGAGAGAACUCGGGUGAAGGAACUAGGCAAAAUGGUGCCGUAACUUCGGGAGAAGGCACGCUGAUAUGUAGGUGAAGUCCCUCGCGGAUGGAGCUGAAAUCAGUCGAAGAUACCAGCUGGCUGCAACUGUUUAUUAAAAACACAGCACUGUGCAAACACGAAAGUGGACGUAUACGGUGUGACGCCUGCCCGGUGCCGGAAGGUUAAUUGAUGGGGUUAGCGCAAGCGAAGCUCUUGAUCGAAGCCCCGGUAAACGGCGGCCGUAACUAUAACGGUCCUAAGGUAGCGAAAUUCCUUGUCGGGUAAGUUCCGACCUGCACGAAUGGCGUAAUGAUGGCCAGGCUGUCUCCACCCGAGACUCAGUGAAAUUGAACUCGCUGUGAAGAUGCAGUGUACCCGCGGCAAGACGGAAAGACCCCGUGAACCUUUACUAUAGCUUGACACUGAACAUUGAGCCUUGAUGUGUAGGAUAGGUGGGAGGCUUUGAAGUGUGGACGCCAGUCUGCAUGGAGCCGACCUUGAAAUACCACCCUUUAAUGUUUGAUGUUCUAACGUUGACCCGUAAUCCGGGUUGCGGACAGUGUCUGGUGGGUAGUUUGACUGGGGCGGUCUCCUCCUAAAGAGUAACGGAGGAGCACGAAGGUUGGCUAAUCCUGGUCGGACAUCAGGAGGUUAGUGCAAUGGCAUAAGCCAGCUUGACUGCGAGCGUGACGGCGCGAGCAGGUGCGAAAGCAGGUCAUAGUGAUCCGGUGGUUCUGAAUGGAAGGGCCAUCGCUCAACGGAUAAAAGGUACUCCGGGGAUAACAGGCUGAUACCGCCCAAGAGUUCAUAUCGACGGCGGUGUUUGGCACCUCGAUGUCGGCUCAUCACAUCCUGGGGCUGAAGUAGGUCCCAAGGGUAUGGCUGUUCGCCAUUUAAAGUGGUACGCGAGCUGGGUUUAGAACGUCGUGAGACAGUUCGGUCCCUAUCUGCCGUGGGCGCUGGAGAACUGAGGGGGGCUGCUCCUAGUACGAGAGGACCGGAGUGGACGCAUCACUGGUGUUCGGGUUGUCAUGCCAAUGGCACUGCCCGGUAGCUAAAUGCGGAAGAGAUAAGUGCUGAAAGCAUCUAAGCACGAAACUUGCCCCGAGAUGAGUUCUCCCUGACCCUUUAAGGGUCCUGAAGGAACGUUGAAGACGACGACGUUGAUAGG